Molecule: ribosomal RNA, 516 nt
Filed under: uncultured bacterium
Lineage: Bacteria
Description: partial 16S ribosomal RNA
Rfam family: Bacterial small subunit ribosomal RNA
Source: RNAcentral
GACGAACGCUGGCGGCAUGCCUAAUACAUGCAAGUCGAGCGGAGUUGAUGGAAAGCUUGCUUUCCUGAUACUUAGCGGCGGACGGGUGAGUAACACGUAGGCAACCUGCCCUCAAGCUUGGGACAACUACCGGAAACGGUAGCUAAUACCGAAUACUUGUUUUCUUCGCCUGAAGGAAACUGGAAAGACGGAGCAAUCUGUCACGUGUGGAUGGGCCUGCUGCUCAUUAGCUAGUUGGUGAGGCAACGGCUCACCAAGGCGACGAUGCGUAGCCGACCUGAGCGGGUGAUCGGCCACACUGGGACUGAGACACGGCCCAGACUCCUACGGGAGGCAGCAGUAGGGAAUCUUCCGCAAUGGGCGAAAGCCUGACGGAGCAAUGCCGCGUGAGUGAUGAAGGUUUUCGGAUCGUAAAGCUCUGUUGCCAGGGAAGAACGCUUGGGAGAGUAACUGCUCCCAAGGUGACGGUACCUGAGAAGAAAGCCCCGGCUAACUACGUGCCAGCCGCCGCGGUAA